This is a long non-coding RNA of Bufo bufo (common toad), 460 nucleotides long. RefSeq lists it as uncharacterized. The record is from RefSeq and is a predicted model, not a curated record. The transcript is spliced from 2 exons. Lineage: Eukaryota; Metazoa; Chordata; Amphibia; Anura; Bufonidae.
AGACGUUGGACACGUAUAAGGCCUCGUGCGAGCCACCGCAUCAGUUUUGCAGAACUAUGGAGACCGUCCGCGUGCAUGGCACAAUUUGGUUAUAGAAAUGGCCAUUCUUGUCCGCAAAACGGGACAAUAGGACGCGUUCUAUAAUUGGUGGGACGGCCGCAGGGAUGCGGACGGCACGCGGAAGACGUCCGUGUGAGGUCUGCUUUCUUUCAGACCCCUAGAAAUGAAUGGGCCUGCAGGCGAUCUGCAAAAAAAAAAAAGAGUGGAUCAGAUGGAGGCCAGAAAUAUGGUCGUCUGCAUGAGGCCUGAAGCCGCUGAGGUCACCUCCUCCAUUGGGCACAUGAUGCCAUACUCUUCACAGCCAUUCUCCUGAACCAGAGGAUCAGUCUUGUGAGGGUCAAACAUUAUAUUAUUUGGCGUCACCAGGAGAACACCGCUGACUGUUCCCUAGGAGAUGGAG